Molecule: ribosomal RNA, 449 nt
Filed under: uncultured bacterium
Lineage: Bacteria
Description: bacterial SSU rRNA
Rfam family: Bacterial small subunit ribosomal RNA
Source: RNAcentral
CGCUUUCACUCCUACGGGAGGCAGCAGUGGGGGAAUCUUGGACAAUGGGGGCAACCCUGAUCCAGCCAUGCCGCGUGAGUGAUGAAGGCCUUAGGGUCGUAAAGCUCUUUCGCCUGUGAUGAUAAUGACAGUAGCAGGUAAAGAAACCCCGGCUAACUCCGUGCCAGCAGCCGCGGUAAUACGGAGGGGGUUAGCGUUGUUCGGAAUUACUGGGCGUAAAGCGCGCGUAGGCGGAUUAGUCAGUUAGAGGUGAAAUCCCAGGGCUCAACCCUGGAACUGCCUUUAAUACUGCUAGUCUUGAGUUCGAGAGAGGUGAGUGGAAUUCCGAGUGUAGAGGUGAAAUUCGUAGAUAUUCGGAGGAACACCAGUGGCGAAGGCGGCUCACUGGCUCGAUACUGACGCUGAGGUGCGAAAGUGUGGGGAGCAAACAGGAUUAGAUACCCUGGUAG